CACGUAGGGGGCGAGCGUUGUCCGGAUUCAUUGGGCGUAAAGAGUUCGUAGGCGGUUGCCUAAGUCUGGUGUUAAAGACCGAAGCUCAACUUCGGCAUGGCAUUGGAAACUGGGCGGCUAGAGUGCGGUAGAGGUCUCGGGAAUUCCAGGUGUAGCGGUGAAAUGCGUAGAUAUCUGGAGGAACACCGGUGGCGAAGGCGGCAUCCUGGACCGGCAUUGACGCUGAGGCGCGAAAGCCAGGGGAGCAAACGGG
RNAcentral lists this ribosomal RNA (253 nucleotides) under uncultured bacterium. RNAcentral describes it as "partial 16S ribosomal RNA". It matches the Rfam family "Bacterial small subunit ribosomal RNA", at positions 524 to 776 of the family's 1533-position model. The record is from RNAcentral.